RNAcentral lists this unclassified non-coding RNA (299 nucleotides) under uncultured fungus. RNAcentral describes it as "sequence contains ITS2". The stretch from base 1 to 52 matches the Rfam family "5.8S ribosomal RNA", at positions 103 to 154 of the family's 154-position model. The record is from RNAcentral. Lineage: Eukaryota; Fungi.
AACGCAUCUUGCGCUCCUUGGUAUUCCAAAGAGCAUGCCUGUUUGAGUGUCAUGAAAAUCUCAACUUAUUACCUUUGUUAAGGUCUUCAAGCUUGGAUAUGGAGUAUGCGAUAUUGCAUUAUUGACUAUAUAGCUACUCUUGAAUGCAUUAAGCAAAUCUUUGUAGACCAUUGAAAUAAGUGCAUUUGGCUUGAUAAUACUCUGUCAAUUAACUUGUUCUUAUCUACGAAAGCCUUGUCUUCUAAUUUGUUGAACCACAUUUCGACCUCAAAUCAGGUAGGAUUACCCGCUGAACUUAA